Molecule: long non-coding RNA, 670 nt
Filed under: Nicotiana benthamiana
Lineage: Eukaryota; Viridiplantae; Streptophyta; Magnoliopsida; Solanales; Solanaceae
Description: long non-coding RNA (NBEN_LNC023592)
Source: RNAcentral
UAAGGACAGAGUUACCCUCCUUCUUCGCGACCGGAGAAGAUCGACCUUCAAACAACAGAGAAAACCCUAGGUACAAAACCCUAGGUGUAACCUUUGAAGUCCUUACUGAAAUGUGGUCAGGAAUGUCGGAAAGGCACCCAAAACAUCCAUUGAGUGAGAAUCGAGCCACCGGAUAGCAGUAGAACUCUAGGUUAAACCACCAGAAACCCUAGAAGCCGAUAGGUCACCGAGAAGCCACCCAAAAAUCAGCAGAAAAUCUUUCAGAAUGUUCGGGUGAAUAAAAUACACUCAGAUAUCAUGAUGAGAAACUCGGAAAAAACAUCCGAUCUAGGUCAGAAGCAUCAUCGACCACAAGGUCUCAGAAAAAUCCCCAAAAAAUCUCAAAAAGGAGUUCAACCAAGACAACGAGAUGUAGAGAAACAUAGUCGGAUCGUCGUCUAGGCUCUGAUACCUCAUGUACCAAAAAAUCUCAAAAAGGAGUUCAACCAAGACAACGAGAUGUAGAGAAACAUAGUCGGAUCGUCGUCUAGGCUCUGAUACCAUGUAAACAUUGACAUUAGACUGAGAAAUCAUAGAAAAUGUAGAGAGAGAAAGUAGAGAGAAGGAGGAGCGUUUGGAACUCUCUGGAAAGCAGAGAGAUGUUAUUACAGAGAAAAUAAUGUGAGAAUGA